ACCGAAACCAUCCCCUUGUCCCUCUGCCCGGCCCCACUCGGUGGCCUGAAAAGUGAGACACAGAACAGUGGUGAAAGACAUACCCCAUGCAAAGGACGUCUGAAACACAGCCUUGGGGGCAAUUAACCGGCCCAGGUGGGAAGAGGGCAGUGAGGGGGGAGGAGGAGGAGGAGGAGGGGGCUGGGGCUUCUCCUCCCUGAUUCUCCUUGUCCUGGAGGGGAGAGAGCCGGGGACCCCUGCCCUGGCCAGGUGACCCCAGGAUGCAUGUGUGUCUUGCAGUGAUGGCCGUGGUGUUGGCUCCCCUCAGGGAGUGCGCGGCUUCCUCCCUCCCUCCCUCCGCCUGCCACCCCGACUCCCCUGGUGUCCUCCACCCCACCCCCCGGGGUUUUGCAUUUUUGAGGGUCCCCGUAUGGGAGGACUUCCAGACCCCUGUGGAAGUGAGCCCUGAUUGCAUGAUUGAAAGUUGCCUCUGCAACCCCCUGCCGCCCCCUCCCCUCCGGGGCUUGUUGAAGAGAAGCUUAAAGGGAACGGGGAGGUGAUGAGGACAUUUCUUGGGCGACCCAGGCUCCCUCCAGAAUGUGCUGGGAGGACUUGGGGGCGCUCUUGAGCGGCAGCGGAGGGCAUAUGGCUGCCCCUGUCUGUGCUGCUCAGCCUGCUCCUCCCCCAGGCACUGGCUGGCCCCCUAGUCUGCCCCAAGGAUGCCCCCUCAGGGGCCUGGCAGACAGGGCACCUGAGGUGGAGGCAGCCUUUGGAGGUGACCGCCCUGGCCCUGUUGGGACGUGGGUAGGGCAGGCAGAGUAACUGCUGAUUAAGAUGGCCGCUGAGUGCUACUUGACGUCUGGUUCCCUGGCAACUUGGUUGGGCUGAGCAGAGGCGGCUGAGAGGCGAGCAGCCCGGGGGCAAUGGGGAUGGAGGUGGCGGGGGGUGUUCCCAUGGCCCAGGGACACUCACUGUAGCACGCAGUCUGGGAUCUGCACGUGCUCCAUGGGGAUGAGCUGCUCCAGAUCUUCCAAGCUGUGCACAUACUGGAUCUUGUUGAUGAACUUGACGCUGGUGGGAGAAGAAGCAGGGAGACAUCUGAAAGCCAGCCCUCAGAGUGGCUCCUCAGGGCCAGAAGGAGCGAUGGCAGGCAGGGAUGCACACGCAACACUAUUCCGGGAUGCCCCAAGCACCUUCGCCCAAGCUUCCCUCCCCACCCGUGCCAGCCUCCACCCCUGGCCCCUAGUGGGGGAACAGAGCAGAACCCGGGGUCUCCCCUUGCAAGAAGAGAAGCGUCCUGGACCACGUGUUGGACACCAGUCCUUGCUGAGCUGAGGAAAUUCUUUGAAGGAAGCAGAGAGGAAAGAGACGCUGCUAGACUCCAGGCUCCAUCCUCCCCAGGAGUUGCUCCUCUGUGUGCAUCUUCCCAAGAAUGCUUUUCUGGCACAAUCGCCACUGCCCGGAUAGCACCAGUAGUCAUUUGGUCACGAGACAGGUGCACAUGGGGACUGCUGAUUCAUUCCACAUUCUUUCGGGAUGAAUGGUUUGUUCCGGUCCAAACCCCAGCUCUGGCUGUCUGCGACCCAUUGAAGUGCUUUGUCACCAGCGCGUUGCUUUGAACUCGUGAUUAUUUUUUUAAAAAAUUACCUUAAACCUAAUUUUGGUAAAAUGUCCAAUAAACUUUUUUCAAGGUCAAA
Long non-coding RNA from Balaenoptera acutorostrata (minke whale), 1676 nucleotides. RefSeq lists it as uncharacterized. The transcript has 2 exons. The record is from RefSeq and is a predicted model, not a curated record. NCBI's taxonomy places the organism in Eukaryota, Metazoa, Chordata, Mammalia, Artiodactyla, Balaenopteridae.